This 468-nucleotide ribosomal RNA is filed under the name uncultured bacterium. RNAcentral describes it as "partial 16S ribosomal RNA". It matches the Rfam family "Bacterial small subunit ribosomal RNA", at positions 28 to 507 of the family's 1533-position model. The record is from RNAcentral.
GACGAACGCUGGCGGCGUGCUUAACACAUGCAAGUCGAACGGAAAGGCCCUGCUUUUGUGGGGUGCUCGAGUGGCGACCGGGUGAGUAACCCGUGAGUACCCUGCCCUUGACUUUGGGAUAAGUUCAGGCAACUGGGGCUAAUACCGGCUAGGAGCUCCUGCUGCAUGGUGGGGGUUGGUUAGUUUCGCCGGUUGGGGAUGGACUCGCGGCUUAUCAGCUUGUUGGUUGGGUAGUGUCUUAGCAAGGCUUUGACCGGUAGCCGGCCUGGGAGGCUGACCGGCCACAUUGGGACUGAGAUGCGGCCCAGACCACUACGGGAGGCAGCAGUGGGGUAUAUUGCACAAUGGGCGGAAGCCUGAUGCAGCAACGCCGCGUGCGGGAUGACGGGCUUCGGGUUGUAAUCCGAUUCCGCCUGUGCCGAAGCGUUAGUGACGGUAAUGGGUAAAGAAGCACCGGCUAACUACGUG